CCUCUCCCGACACAAUAACCAAAUGCCCCUCUACUACGAAUUUCAGUUUUUGGUGGAGUGUAGAGGGAACGACUCCCACCGAGUGGAUCCACGGGCGUCCCAAAAGACAGUUGUAAGCCGGGUUAAUAUCCAUUACUUGGAAGGUAACCUGAUAGGUAUGGGGGCCUAUCUGUACAGGGAGGUCGAUCUCUCCCCUCACCUCUCAGCGGCUGUCGUCGAAGGCACGGACCACCAUGGAACUUGGCUU
This 247-nucleotide long non-coding RNA is filed under the name Glycine max (soybean). Its description in RNAcentral is "long non-coding RNA (GMAX_LNC003524)". The record is from RNAcentral. Lineage: Eukaryota; Viridiplantae; Streptophyta; Magnoliopsida; Fabales; Fabaceae.